CUAGCUGUAAACGAUGGAUACUAGGCGUUGAGAGUAUCGACCCUCUCAGUGUCGUAGCUAACGCGUUAAGUAUCCCGCCUGGGGAGUACGCGCGCAAGCGUGAAACUCAAAGGAAUUGACGGGGGCCCGCACAAGCGGUGGAGUAUGUGGUUUAAUUCGAUGCAACGCGAAGAACCUUACCAGGGCUUGACAUGUCCGGAACCCUGCACAAAGGCGGGGGUGCCUACGGGAACCGGAACACAGGUGGUGC
This 250-nucleotide ribosomal RNA is filed under the name uncultured Chroococcidiopsis sp. RNAcentral's name for it is "partial 16S ribosomal RNA". It matches the Rfam family "Bacterial small subunit ribosomal RNA", at positions 796 to 1044 of the family's 1533-position model. Lineage: Bacteria; Bacillati; Cyanobacteriota; Cyanophyceae; Chroococcidiopsidales; Chroococcidiopsidaceae. The record is from RNAcentral.